This is a long non-coding RNA of Phyllostomus discolor (pale spear-nosed bat), 2476 nucleotides long. RefSeq lists it as uncharacterized. The record is from RefSeq and is a predicted model, not a curated record. The transcript is spliced from 2 exons. Lineage: Eukaryota; Metazoa; Chordata; Mammalia; Chiroptera; Phyllostomidae.
CCUCCCUAGGGCUAAGUAACACCUGACUCAUUACAUGUCUUGUUAGUAUCCCUUGUUUCUUGUCUCCUACAAUGGCAGCUUCAAUGAGACAGGGAUAUUUGUUCCCUUUCACUCACUACAGCAUCUACCAGGAGGCCUAUUACACCAGAGGAGAUUGAUACUUAUGGACUAACUAGCCUAUAGACACACACAAACUCAUUCCAGGCCCACAUGAACUUGUUCUUCACAUCCCAGGCCCACAGUUCACUUCAGUGAACUGUUCUCAGCUCCAUCCUAUGUGACACAAAGGUAUCUUAUCUUCCGGUCCUCAAACUCAUCUCCCAAGAAGUGUCCAUCUGCCCAUCCUGGUGACAAAGGGCCUUCAAGUUUCCUGAGCCGGCACAUUACUGUAAGAUCAUCUAAGAAACACAACUCAAGAGCAUAAGAGCAUGAAGAAGUGAGCGUCAGGGCCUGGAAUGGCAGGAGUUAUCCUCUCCCAAAUCCUCACGCUGCUGCAAUCACUUCCAGAAAUGCACCCCUCACCACGUGACCCUUCCUCACUUUGCUUUCCCUCUGGAAGCUCAGGGACGUCAAUUACGGUUCCUCACUUGGCUGCCAUCUCCUCGGUAUGGCGUCCAUUGCCUCCCUGAGGUCUCACCUGUGCUCAGGUCUCCCUGGGUCAGCCCUGGGGACCAGUCCUCCUAAGCCCUGGAUCUCUGGCCCUCAUUGCAAGUUCCUUGAUGGGGAUGCGGAACAGCUUCAGGACGUAGGACCACGCAGAGAGAUGACCUGGGGGCCCAAGAAAACACUGGAAGCUGUGGCGAGGGCAGGGAGGAGGUUUGGCUCACUUCUGACUCUCCCCUUCAAGUAACAGUGGGCACAGUCUCCACCGAGGUGAGAGGCAGGCUUCACCUCCUGUGCAGUUCGGGGAAGGUGGAAAUCCCUGGUAUUUCCCUCCACUUCGGCGUGGUACCGCACUGCAUUUUGGGAGCCACGUGAAGUGCGGGGGCACCCCUCUGGAGUGCUGAGGGCCCGGCUGACGUGUCAUUUACCACAGCCCAUGGGGCCAAAAUUCUACAGGGUGAGCCCAGGUCCAGAGGAGUACGCACCGGCCUCGGAGGGUCGGCUCCACACUCUGAAGGCCACAUUCGAGUGAGGGUGUGGUCGGUGCAUGCGCCACUCAAACCACAGGGUGGAAUGUGCCCCAGAACUCGGGCAGGGUGCUUCUGGGACAAGUGGGCUCCUGAGGGAUUCCCAGAGCUAGGACAGGGCAGGGCAUCUCCUUUUGACAUUAUUGAUGGGGUUGAGAAUAUUGUGAGAUGUGCUUCUUGGUGCAGAGGUGUUUAUGCGAUUAUUGUGUUCGAGGAGCCUGUUCCUCAAGACAUGGGCUCUGAGUUGCAACAAAAAGUUCCAGAGUGGAGUAGGUGUUGCAUUUAAACAUGUUUCCCAGAAAGGAGGCACAACCACAAUCAGAUGGGAAAUUUAAGAGCUGGAAAUGGCCUCCAGCUCUGCGCCGGGAAGACAUGAUGCUGAUGCCCAAGGAUUAGAUUAGGACAUCCCCAGGCUGACCUUAUUUGUGGAGACCUGUUAGAUGCACCGCAUCAUUCCCGAGCAAGCAUUUCCUGUGUAUGACUCAAGAAACGUGGUGUUAUCGCAAAGGUGGGUGCCAGGAGCCCUAUCACUGUCUCACCUGUUGUGUGAAUGAGGGCAGGUGUUUCCCUAGCGUGUUUUGUAGAAUCCGAUUCAGUACCAAGAAAGACUUCAAGGUGGUGAAGGGAAGUGUUGCACAUGUAGCAAUCUAAGUUCGGAACAGUUUUAACAUCCUCCCAGUAUGUGAAAACAUUUUGGUCGCUUUACAUAUAUGUUUUUAGUGUUUACACAUACUGUUUCCAGAGUAGUUGUGAGUUUUCACAAAUGCAUAGUUAUACCAUGAAGACCAAAAACACUCCAUCAGCCCAGAGGAACACUCUUGCGGUGCCUGUUUAUACUGAACCCACCUUUAGACACGAAUCUGUUUAAGGUUCCUAUACCUUUACCUUUUCCAGAAUGUCACAUAAGUGGAUCACCAUGUAGUCUUCUAAGUCCUGUUUGGAAACUCUGAUACCACAUUUGUAAAGGUACAUAUUUAUAUGAACCUAGCACUGUUCUUCUGAAUUUAAAAUUUUUGACAUUGCACAGUAGAGGAACACAGAUUACGACUAAAAUUGAGAUUACGCUAUAAUGAGUUAUGUAAAUUUGGGUAAGGUUUGUGCUUUACCUUCUUCAUUUGCAUGACGGAAGGAAAGAUGGGGGGGCAGGGGAUCAUGUGAGAUACCAAUACUGUAAAAAUCACAUAAUCUUUACACCGCAUAGAAAACAUAAAUUAGCACUAAAAAAGAAAAAGGACCAAUCUGUAUUUCCUUUGCUGUUUAGUGAAAUAAAAGUCAUCACCAUUUACCCCAUGUUUCAUAAAAUCUCCUGGAAGUGUAAACAUAUGGAAAUGAUCCCUGAAAACAGC